UAAAGGUGUUAAAAUUUUUUGUCCCGGAAGCGGUAGUGGUAGUAAAAAGCGAAUUACUAGCGGUAGAGGUAGUUCAAGUAGUAGAUAUACCCGUGUGCCUUCGCCUCCGGUACCACUUGGUACACCUUUUGAGGAAGAAAUAGGUGUAGGUGCUCACGAUAUGGAUUAUGUAGAAGCUCAGAAAAAUUACGGUAUAAAAGAAGAAAAUAAAGUGGAUGCGGUUAAUUUAGACGAAGAUAAUGAAAAUAUUGCUGCGACACCCGUAGUAGGAGAUGCUAACGUUAGAUCUGAAUCGGUUAAUCUCCCUCCCCG
Molecule: long non-coding RNA, 312 nt
Filed under: Capsicum annuum
Lineage: Eukaryota; Viridiplantae; Streptophyta; Magnoliopsida; Solanales; Solanaceae
Description: long non-coding RNA (CANN_LNC009079)
Source: RNAcentral